RNAcentral lists this ribosomal RNA (253 nucleotides) under uncultured bacterium. Its description in RNAcentral is "partial 16S ribosomal RNA". It matches the Rfam family "Bacterial small subunit ribosomal RNA", at positions 524 to 776 of the family's 1533-position model. The record is from RNAcentral.
UACGUAGGGUGCGAGCGUUAAUCGGAAUUACUGGGCGUAAAGCGUGCGCAGGCGGUUCGUUGUGUCGGUGGUGAAAUCCCCGGGCUUAACCUGGGAAUGGCCAUGGAAACUGGCGAACUGGAGUGCGGCAGAGGGGGGUGGAAUUCCGCGUGUAGCAGUGAAAUGCGUAGAGAUGCGGCGGAACACCGAUGGCGAAGGCAGCCCCCUGGGCUGAGAUUGACGCUCAGGCACGAAAGCGUGGGGAGCAAACAGG